GGGAAUCUACCUAGUUCUACGGAACAACUGAUGGAAACGUCAGCUAAUACCGUAUACGCCCUACGGGGGAAAGAUUUAUCGGAAUUAGAUGAGCCCGCGUAAGAUUAGCUAGUUGGUGGGGUAAUGGCCUACCAAGGCGACGAUCUUUAGCUGGUCUGAGAAGAUGAUCAGCCACACUGGGACUGAGACACGGCCCAGACUCCUACGGGAGGCAGCAGUGGGGAAUAUUGGACAAUGGGCGCAAGCCUGAUCCAGCCAUGCCGCGUGAGUGAUGAAGGCCUUAGGGUUGUAAAGCUCUUUCAGUAGGGAAGAUAAUGACGGUACCUACAGAAGAAGCCCCGGCUAACUUCGUGCCAGCAGCCGCGGUAAUACGAAGGGGGCUAGCGUUGUUCGGAUUUACUGGGCGUAAAGCGCACGUAGGCGGUUUGUUAAGUCAGAGGUGAAAUCCCGGAGCUCAACUCCGGAACUGCCUUUGAUACUGGCAAGCUAGAGUCCGGAAGAGGUAAGUGGAACUCCUAGU
RNAcentral lists this ribosomal RNA (520 nucleotides) under uncultured bacterium. RNAcentral's name for it is "bacterial SSU rRNA". It matches the Rfam family "Bacterial small subunit ribosomal RNA", at positions 120 to 674 of the family's 1533-position model. The record is from RNAcentral.